GUGGGGAAUCUUGCGCAAUGGGCGAAAGCCUGACGCAGCCAUGCCGCGUGAAUGAUGAAGGUCUUAGGAUUGUAAAAUUCUUUCACCGGGGACGAUAAUGACGGUACCCGGAGAAGAAGCCCCGGCUAACUUCGUGCCAGCAGCCGCGGUAAUACGAAGGGGGCUAGCGUUGCUCGGAAUUACUGGGCGUAAAGGGCGCGUAGGCGGACAGUUAAGUUGGGGGUGAAAGCCCGGGGCUCAACCUCGGAACUGCCUUCAAUACUGGCUGUCUUGAGUAUGAGAGAGGUGUGUGGAACUCCGGGUGUAGAGGUGAAAUUCGUAGAUAUUCGGAAGAACACCAGUGGCGAAGGCGACACACUGGCUCAUUACUGACGCUGAGGCGCGAAAGCGUGGGGAGCAAACAGGAUUAGAAACCCUUGUAGUCC
Molecule: ribosomal RNA, 425 nt
Filed under: uncultured bacterium
Lineage: Bacteria
Description: partial 16S ribosomal RNA
Rfam family: Bacterial small subunit ribosomal RNA
Source: RNAcentral